GGGUUGUGAGGUUAAGCGACUAAGCGUACACGGUGGAUGCCCUGGCAGUCAGAGGCGAUGAAGGACGUGCUAAUCUGCGAUAAGCGUCGGUAAGGUGAUAUGAACCGUUAUAACCGGCGAUUUCCGAAUGGGGAAACCCAGUGUGUUUCGACACACUAUCAUUAACUGAAUCCAUAGGUUAAUGAGGCGAACCGGGGGAACUGAAACAUCUAAGUACCCCGAGGAAAAGAAAUCAACCGAGAUUCCCCCAGUAGCGGCGAGCGAACGGGGAGGAGCCCAGAGCCUGAAUCAGUGUGUGUGUUAGUGGAAGCGUCUGGAAAGGCGCGCGAUACAGGGUGACAGCCCCGUACACAAAAAUGCACAUGCUGUGAGCUCGAUGAGUAGGGCGGGACACGUGGUAUCCUGUCUGAAUAUGGGGGGACCAUCCUCCAAGGCUAAAUACUCCUGACUGACCGAUAGUGAACCAGUACCGUGAGGGAAAGGCGAAAAGAACCCCGGCGAGGGGAGUGAAAAAGAACCUGAAACCGUGUACGUACAAGCAGUGGGAGCCUCUUUUAUGGGGUGACUGCGUACCUUUUGUAUAAUGGGUCAGCGACUUAUAUUCUGUAGCAAGGUUAACCGAAUAGGGGAGCCGAAGGGAAACCGAGUCUUAACUGGGCGUUAAGUUGCAGGGUAUAGACCCGAAACCCGGUGAUCUAGCCAUGGGCAGGUUGAAGGUUGGGUAACACUAACUGGAGGACCGAACCGACUAAUGUUGAAAAAUUAGCGGAUGACUUGUGGCUGGGGGUGAAAGGCCAAUCAAACCGGGAGAUAGCUGGUUCUCCCCGAAAGCUAUUUAGGUAGCGCCUCGUGAAUUCAUCUCCGGGGGUAGAGCACUGUUUCGGCAAGGGGGUCAUCCCGACUUACCAACCCGAUGCAAACUGCGAAUACCGGAGAAUGUUAUCACGGGAGACACACGGCGGGUGCUAACGUCCGUCGUGAAGAGGGAAACAACCCAGACCGCCAGCUAAGGUCCCAAAGUCAUGGUUAAGUGGGAAACGAUGUGGGAAGGCCCAGACAGCCAGGAUGUUGGCUUAGAAGCAGCCAUCAUUUAAAGAAAGCGUAAUAGCUCACUGGUCGAGUCGGCCUGCGCGGAAGAUGUAACGGGGCUAAACCAUGCACCGAAGCUGCGGCAGCGACACUAUGUGUUGUUGGGUAGGGGAGCGUUCUGUAAGCCUGUGAAGGUGUACUGUGAGGUAUGCUGGAGGUAUCAGAAGUGCGAAUGCUGACAUAAGUAACGAUAAAGCGGGUGAAAAGCCCGCUCGCCGGAAGACCAAGGGUUCCUGUCCAACGUUAAUCGGGGCAGGGUGAGUCGACCCCUAAGGCGAGGCCGAAAGGCGUAGUCGAUGGGAAACAGGUUAAUAUUCCUGUACUUGGUGUUACUGCGAAGGGGGGACGGAGAAGGCUAUGUUGGCCGGGCGACGGUUGUCCCGGUUUAAGCGUGUAGGCUGGUUUUCCAGGCAAAUCCGGAAAAUCAAGGCUGAGGCGUGAUGACGAGGCACUACGGUGCUGAAGCAACAAAUGCCCUGCUUCCAGGAAAAGCCUCUAAGCAUCAGGUAACAUCAAAUCGUACCCCAAACCGACACAGGUGGUCAGGUAGAGAAUACCAAGGCGCUUGAGAGAACUCGGGUGAAGGAACUAGGCAAAAUGGUGCCGUAACUUCGGGAGAAGGCACGCUGAUAUGUAGGUGAAGCGACUUGCUCGUGGAGCUGAAAUCAGUCGAAGAUACCAGCUGGCUGCAACUGUUUAUUAAAAACACAGCACUGUGCAAACACGAAAGUGGACGUAUACGGUGUGACGCCUGCCCGGUGCCGGAAGGUUAAUUGAUGGGGUCAGCGCAAGCGAAGCUCUUGAUCGAAGCCCCGGUAAACGGCGGCCGUAACUAUAACGGUCCUAAGGUAGCGAAAUUCCUUGUCGGGUAAGUUCCGACCUGCACGAAUGGCGUAAUGAUGGCCAGGCUGUCUCCACCCGAGACUCAGUGAAAUUGAACUCGCUGUGAAGAUGCAGUGUACCCGCGGCAAGACGGAAAGACCCCGUGAACCUUUACUAUAGCUUGACACUGAACAUUGAGCCUUGAUGUGUAGGAUAGGUGGGAGGCUUUGAAGUGUGGACGCCAGUCUGCAUGGAGCCGACCUUGAAAUACCACCCUUUAAUGUUUGAUGUUCUAACGUUGACCCGUGAUCCGGGUUGCGGACAGUGUCUGGUGGGUAGUUUGACUGGGGCGGUCUCCUCCUAAAGAGUAACGGAGGAGCACGAAGGUUGGCUAAUCCUGGUCGGACAUCAGGAGGUUAGUGCAAUGGCAUAAGCCAGCUUGACUGCGAGCGUGACGGCGCGAGCAGGUGCGAAAGCAGGUCAUAGUGAUCCGGUGGUUCUGAAUGGAAGGGCCAUCGCUCAACGGAUAAAAGGUACUCCGGGGAUAACAGGCUGAUACCGCCCAAGAGUUCAUAUCGACGGCGGUGUUUGGCACCUCGAUGUCGGCUCAUCACAUCCUGGGGCUGAAGUAGGUCCCAAGGGUAUGGCUGUUCGCCAUUUAAAGUGGUACGCGAGCUGGGUUUAGAACGUCGUGAGACAGUUCGGUCCCUAUCUGCCGUGGGCGCUGGAGAACUGAGGGGGGCUGCUCCUAGUACGAGAGGACCGGAGUGGACGCAUCACUGGUGUUCGGGUUGUCAUGCCAAUGGCACUGCCCGGUAGCUAAAUGCGGAAGAGAUAAGUGCUGAAAGCAUCUAAGCACGAAACUUGCCCCGAGAUGAGUUCUCCCUGACUCCUUGAGAGUCCUGAAGGAACGUUGAAGACGACGACGUUGAUAGGCCGGGUGUGUAAGCGCAGCGAUGCGUUGAGCUAACCGGUACUAAUGAACCGUGAGGCUUAACCUUACAACGCCGAAGCUGUU
This 2929-nucleotide ribosomal RNA is filed under the name Escherichia coli. RNAcentral describes it as "23S ribosomal RNA". It matches the Rfam family "Bacterial large subunit ribosomal RNA". The record is from RNAcentral. Lineage: Bacteria; Pseudomonadati; Pseudomonadota; Gammaproteobacteria; Enterobacterales; Enterobacteriaceae.